RNAcentral lists this RNase P RNA (368 nucleotides) under Cyclobacteriaceae bacterium. Its description in RNAcentral is "RNase P RNA component class A". It matches the Rfam family "Bacterial RNase P class A". From Rfam's summary of the family: Ribonuclease P (RNase P) is a ubiquitous endoribonuclease, found in archaea, bacteria and eukarya as well as chloroplasts and mitochondria. Its best characterised activity is the generation of mature 5'-ends of tRNAs by cleaving the 5'-leader elements of precursor-tRNAs. The record is from RNAcentral. Lineage: Bacteria; Pseudomonadati; Bacteroidota; Cytophagia; Cytophagales; Cyclobacteriaceae.
UAUGUAGGUUGCCUUAUCGCCUGUAUACAGGAGGAAAGUCCGGGCAACAUAGAGCGUCGUACUUCCUAACGGGAAGGGUUUGGUUUAGUGAUAAACCAAAUACAGAAAGUGCCACAGAAAAUAUACCGCCCCAAUUGGGGUAAGGGUGAAAUGGCAGGGUAAGAGCCUACCGCUUCUCAGGCAACUGAGGAGGCAGGGUAAACCUUACGAGUUGAAAGACCAAAUAUACCAACAUCUCUUCGGAGGAGGGGCUGCUCGUCUUUUGUUGGUGGGUGGGUCGAUUGAGCCUGAUGGUGACAUAAGGCCUAGAUAAAUGAUAAGGGACUCUAACAGAGUUACAGAACCCGGCUUAUAGACUUACAUAGUUC